GUUUUAUUCAGCUUUGGUUGUAGUUACUCGAUUGUUAUUAACUUACAGAUGUUAAGCAAUUAACAAGUGCCACCAAAAUGAGGAUAUGGCGGCAGACCACUUGUCAUGUCCUAUACGUUCACAUGUGGUGCUAAUUUCCUGUUACAUUAUUUAAUUACCAACUGAUUUGGCGCAGUUUCCAGCGCUGAGGACAACAGGUUUCUUCUUCUGCUCUGCAGUUACUCUGAGAUGUAACUUUGACAGUGGGGAAAGCCCGGACGUCUCUGCUGUACCGCGGCGAUGCACACUGAUGUCCUCAUUGCGGUGGGAUUCGAACCCGGGCUGACACCACCACCCAACAGCGUGACCACGCCACCAUGUCAUUCCCCCUAUAACAUCUCUUUGUUGCCUUUGACUUCUUCUGACUGAGCUAUUUGUUCACACCGCCUUUAUGCAGCUCUGAUAAAACAGAUAACAGAUAAAACAAAUAAAC
Long non-coding RNA from Gasterosteus aculeatus aculeatus (three-spined stickleback), 472 nucleotides. NCBI's taxonomy places the organism in Eukaryota, Metazoa, Chordata, Actinopteri, Perciformes, Gasterosteidae. The record is from Ensembl.